Salvelinus sp. IW2-2015 is the source of this 2428-nucleotide long non-coding RNA. RefSeq lists it as uncharacterized. The record is from RefSeq and is a predicted model, not a curated record. NCBI's taxonomy places the organism in Eukaryota, Metazoa, Chordata, Actinopteri, Salmoniformes, Salmonidae.
CGCGCACACCCCUUGUUGGCUGGAGCUAAACUAGCUUGCUAAAUCAGUUUAAAUAAGACAGAGCGUGAAAUUUGACUGAUUCAAAUGAUUCUAUUGACUUUUUAUAAAUCCAGAUCACAGAGAUUUAUUGUACACAAAAAACGUUUGCAAAACUGGCUUAGUAGCUAACGACAUUGAAUUUGUACGUGGUUAGCCAAACUAGUUAUGCUAUGCUAGCUUUAGAACAACCAUAACAAACAGUCAUGCUAGCUAGCUAAAUUAUUUAAAUAUACAUAUAUUGAGGGAAGUUGUUGGGGUUUCUAACAGCAAGACAGGCUGGACUUGACGACACACUUUGCCUGAGACGGGCAGAGUCAACAGUGAGGGGGAAAGUUGGCCAAAUCAUCAUCCCAUCUGUGAACACUAUUCCAUUGUUUCUCUGAUGGAUUCCCUUUUAUACGUCCAGUCGGUAUGUCCACAGGUUCAGUGUGCAGUGGUACCCGUUCGACACGGGCAUAAUUGUGUCCAGCUCCUUCGACAAAACCAUGAAGGCCCGGGACACUGAGACACUAAAAGCCCAAUGAAGUGUUCCAGUAUGAAGGGAACGUCUACUGCCACCACAUGUCCCCCAUCUCCAGGAAUCACAGCCUCAUCGUGUGUGUGUGUGUGUGUGUGUUGCUGCGUUUACGCGGCCCAAUUCUGAUAUUUUUUCCAAUUAUUAGUCUUUUGACCAAUCAGACCAAUAAUAGCAAGUUUGUGUGCUUAAAAUAUUAUUUACUGUCUAUAAUAAUCCGUUAUUACAUUUGUAAAGCUCUUUUCAUUAUACAGAAUAAUCUCAAAGUGCAUAAAAUAAAAACCUAUUAGAAAAAAUAAAUGGACACAACUAGACAGUGCAACUGACACAAAGAACACAGCUGACGCUACAAGGAACAGUCUGUCUUACUGAUAUAAUCUAAGAAUGAACAUUGGCUCUACUCUCCAGGCAGAACCAUUCUGUAAACCUGUCAACAAGGUAAUCCUUUGCCCCUUUUGCUAUGCUCAUUCCACAGCAUACUUCUGUUCUGAUGCAAGGCCUGCAGCAAUGAUUCUCUCCACUGAUUUUGAAAGCUGUUCGCAUGACGGCUGAUUGUGAAACAGCGGUGUGGUGGGUUGACAAAGUGUAUGCCCCUUGGGGUCUCAGGAGUUGGAAAUUACUCCGGAACAGUUUAGAUAGACAUGAUAGGAAUCCAGGCGGUGCCCCCCUGCUGACAGAGCAGGACAGACUGGUUGUACAUACCUGCCAAAUCACUUGUUUAACACCCACACUGCUCUCUUUCCUCAUCGCUCUCUCAAUGCAUUUCAAAGGGGCUCUCGCUCUCUCUCUGUGUGUGUGUGUUUUUCGCUCACUUUCUCCAUGUUACUGUCACUGACUCUCCCUUUGUCCGCCCACGCCCCUGGUGCUACUCGGACCAGAAUUAUCAUUUUACUUCUGCCGGGUUUGAAACAAAUGGACUCAAACCUGAUUGUGUCUAUCCCUGUCAAUUAUCUUGCUCCCUGACUGCUCACACCCUCUGUGUGAAUAAUGAUCUGUGUUGUGAGCUCAUGUAUAUCAAUGGCUGGCACAAGUGCUCUCUUAUAUAGCUACACUCCUGUCUCAUCUGAGAGAACCAGGGCCUCCAGUUUCUCCUCUGGGUCACAAAGCAUUUACACACAAAGUGAAAGUAAAGAUGUUUUUCCUUUGUCUUAGUCAUGUAUGUAACCUCUCAAUGAAUCCCUUGAUCUGUGUGUUCUCAGUGGGUACCAAAGACCAGAAAGUACAGUUCUGUGACCUGAAGUCUGGCUCAUGCAUCUAGGUUCUGCAGGGUGAGUGCGCCACACGCACACGCACGCGACACUCAGGUCACAGAGGUGUAGGUUCUAUCUGUCCGGUGGUCGCCAAGAUAUGAGCACAUUUUAGCUACAGCCAGGUAGGCCAAUUAACACCACACCUGAAGAGACACAACAACAACCUCCGUGUCACGCCUUUAGAGACAUGUGCCUCCCUCGGGCACACCAAGAGACCGUUGCAUUGCCUGGGAACUAGCCUCUAUUCCCUGGGAGUGCCAACACAGCUCAGGCAGGCAGCAUGCCCACCUGGUUUACGCCAAAUUAGAUCAGCUAAUUAAACCAUUGGGAUCAUAUCACUGUCCCUUUGGGCUGUAAGUGAUUCGAAAAACAUCUGGGCAUGCUUGAACUGCUCCYGAUAACAUGGGCAAUUGGACAGUGAAGGACACUGUCUUUGGAAAUGUAUGGAGUGACAUUCUUUUUUAAUAUGGAGGGCUAUUUUCAGGAAAUGAGGCACUAGAGCUGGGAAAUUGAAGGGACUAUGUGGCAUUGUGGUAGUUGUAGUGUUACAGAACAGGUUUAACCUCUCUACUGUUAGAAAGCCUGAUCAACUCAGAAUACCUAAGAGUGAACAAAAUUAUUUUGA